UACGUAGGGUGCAGGCGUUAAUCGGAAUUACUGGGCGUAAAGCGUGCGCAGGCGGUCUAUUAAGACAGGUGUGAAAUCCCCGGGCUUAACCUGGGAACUGCGCUUGUAACUGAUAGGCUGGAGUGUGGCAGAGGGGGGUGGAAUUCCACGUGUAGCAGUGAAAUGCGUAGAGAUGUGGAGGAACACCGAUGGCGAAGGCAGCCCCCUGGGCUGAGAUUGACGCUCAGGCACGAAAGCGUGGGGAGCAAACAGG
This 253-nucleotide ribosomal RNA is filed under the name uncultured bacterium. RNAcentral describes it as "partial 16S ribosomal RNA". It matches the Rfam family "Bacterial small subunit ribosomal RNA", at positions 524 to 776 of the family's 1533-position model. The record is from RNAcentral.